CCGCAGCUAAACUCAGCGGCCAGGCGAGUCGCAACGAGGCGGUCAACGCCAGGUUCCAGUUGGAGCCCGGAGCCUUGAACUGCCAGAGGGGCGGGACCGAGCGCAGCCCAGCUCUUUGAUCCUACUGCGCAGGCGCUAAAGAUUCCUGGCGCGUAGCAUAGGUUCUGAGCUUUUCUUUCAGCUAGGUUACAGACUGGGUCCUCUACAAGUCGGCUAGUUCGCUGGGCCAGAAGAAAGGAACUGCGGACACCAUUCAGGAUCUGAGAAGCAGAUCCCAAUGUGGAGAGCAUUGGCAAAUAAGCUGGAGAAGAAGGGCCUUGUGGAAGAUGUGUAACGUAAAUUAAGCCUUGACAGGUAUUACAUGCCACCCUUUUCAUUAGCAUAAAAUUUAUGUCCGAGCCUUGGUUAAGGAUUUACCAGGUUCUGACUAACGUUCAGUAAAGUUACACAAUAUUUUGUGUUUAUAAUUUUUAAUUACGCUCUUGGCAAAUUGAUUUUUUUUUAAAGGUGUGUGAGUUUUCUUUCUGCUUCUCUCAAGACUAAGCCACUUAAUUUAAAAAGCACAUUUAAAAUGCUAGCAAACUUCUGGCAAAUGAAAUUCAAAGACCAAUUGGCUUUGCUGUGUAUGAGAUCG
RNAcentral lists this long non-coding RNA (634 nucleotides) under Mus spicilegus (steppe mouse). RNAcentral describes it as "lncRNA (ENSMSIG00000032189.1)". The record is from RNAcentral. Lineage: Eukaryota; Metazoa; Chordata; Mammalia; Rodentia; Muridae.